ACCCCCAUGGACCUAGCUGAGGACAGGCCCUCUUGCCUUCCACUUAAAUUUUGCAUUUCCCAAGACCACCUUGGCCCGCCAUUCCCCCGUCCUGUGCCUGUAAAAACUCCAGGCCCUAGAAGGCACACACGCACAAGUGGCUGGACUUCGUGAGGAAUUCAUAGGGGAAGAAGAUGCAAGUGGCUGGUCAUGGAGAGGACUUUUUGACGAGCGCCGGCAAAAGAGCACAGCGAAGAAAUCCCAGGAUUCGGAAAGCCCUCUGUACUCGCAACAAGAGUCUCACUGUGUCAGCCAGGCUGGAGUGGCAUGAUCUCGGCUCACUGCAACCUCCGUCUCCUGGGCUCAAGCAAUUCUCCUGCCUCAGCCUCCGGAGUAGCUGGGAUUACAGGAUGACCCAGUAAGAAGGUUCUCAUCAGUGGCUGACCAGAUGCCAGAAACAUGCCAUUGGAGUGCCCAGCCUUCAGAACAGUUGCUGACCGGAAGGUGAAUUGUUUGGCAAGGUCAAUAAGUGAACAAAUGAAUCAGCAAUAGCUAAAUCUUAGAACAGAGCCUCCUGAUACAGUACCUUAUGCAAUCAUGCUGUCUUCAAUCAUUUGCAACCAUUUAUUGACUACCCACAAUCUUCUUGAAAUCAUUUAUGGAUCUGGGGAAAUAGAUGGGCUCAUAGGCAGAAGGAACUUGCCUUGUCUCAGAUGAGACUUUGGACUUGGUCUUUUGAGUUGAUGCUGGAAUGAGUUAAGACCCCAGUUGUGGUGCAGUCAGACACAUAAACCUCAUGGAGAAUCCCUAUGUAAGUGCUCCAGUUCACUGCCAGCUGUGUGAAACUGUCUUGAAUAUCCAGGUGAAGCCAAGUCUUCAGAUGACUCAAAUCCCAACCACCAUUUGUCUGACUGCAACUGCAGGAGAGAUCCCAAGGAAGAUCACAGUUGAGCCUGACCCAAAGCCAACCCAAAUAUCUAAACCCAUGCAGAGACCCUGACUGAAGCAACCAAUUGAAUAGAGCAGCACUGUGGAAACUGUAAGUUAACGCACUGCUCCAGCACAGGAAGAGAUUUGCUUCAGAAUUGCAAAUCUGCUUGUGAGUGUACCCUUCUUUAAAUCAUAUCUGUAAUUGAUAUAAAUCAGUGGUUUAAAUGUUCAACUGAACACAUCUCUGGCCACAGAACAGAGUAACUUCUGGGGAUUUAUCUCUAUAUUCAGAUGUGGAAACCUAAAUUUACAAGUACACCAGCAUCUGCUUAGCAAAAGUUACUUAGUGUAACCCACAUAAAUUCUGACAAUGCAUAUACAGUGGCGAGGCUAAAAGGUUUCAAGGGUGUGAUGGACACCAAAAAGUACUAGAAGCCUGUACUGAAGAAACAUGGUAAUUAAGUUUGUAUCUUUGUCCCUUCCCAAAUCACAUGUUGAAAUGUAAUCUCCGUUGUUGGAGGUGAUGCCUGGUGGGAGGUGACGGGAUCAUAGAGGAGUAUUCCUCGUGAAUGGUUUAGCACAAUCCCCUUGGUGCUAAUCUUGUAAUAGCAAAUGAGUUCUCAUGAGAUCUGAUCAUUUAUAAAUGUGUGCCGCUUCCUCCCCACUGCUGUCUCUCUCUUAUAAAUUAUCCAGUCUAAGGUAUUUAUUUAUAGCAAUACAAAAACAGUUUAAUACACAUGGGACAGGUAAAAGUGGUAAUUCUCUCAUGAGUAGUGUAAGCAGUAAACAGUCUUUAGAACUAACUCCAGAUGGUCUUAGAUAUGGUGGAUGGUGCAUAUAGGUACAUUGAUAUUCCACCUCAGAUUUCAGCUUAUGACAGCUAGAAAAAGGUGUCAACAUAUUUGAUGUACCACAAAGAAUCAGAGGGAAUUACUUUAAGAAAAAGAAUGCGAAUUGGUCAUCUUUUUCUAAGUCCUAUUUGUUUCUAUAUCUUCCUCAAGUUUCCACAGCCAGAAUUAACAGGAGUUAACCUGAUGGCAUUGAGAAGUAGAGAGAGAAGGUGCCUUCCCUUGACGUCUUGGCACCUGGUGUCAAUGUGCCAUCUGAUAUGGUUUGGGUCUGUGUCCCCACUCAAAUCUCAUGUUAAAUUGUAAUCCCCAAUAUUGGAGGUGGGAUCUGGUAGGAGGUGAUUGGAUCAUGGGAGCAGAUUUCCUCCUUUGGUGCUAUUCUCAUGACACAUUCUCAUGAAAUCUGGUUGUUUAAAACUAUGUAGCAAUCUCCCCUCUUACUCCUUCUCUGGUCAUGUAAGACAUGCUCACUCUCCUUUUGCUUUCUGCCAAGAUUUUGAGUUUCCUGAGGCCUCCCCAAGAGCAGAUCUUGCCAUGCUUCCUGUUCAACCUAUGGAACUGUGAGCCAAUUAAUCCUCUUUUCUUUAUAAAUUACCCAUUCUCAGGUAUUUCUUAUAGCAGUGUGAGAAUGGACUCAUACUGAAAAUUGGAAUCAAGGAAUGAGGCAUUCCUAUAAAGGUGCCUGAAAAUGUGACAGCAACUUUUGAAGUGGGUAACAGGCAUAUGUUGAAAGAGUGUGGAGGACUCAGAAGAAGACAGGAAGAUGAGGAAAAAUUUGAACCUUCCUAGAGACUUGUUAAGUUGUUGUGACCAAAAUGCUGAUAGUGAUAUGGACAGUGAAAGCCAAGCUGAGAAGGUAUCAGAUGAAAAUGGAGAAGUUAUUGAGAACCAUAGCAAAGGUCACUUUUGUUAUUCAUUAGCCAAGAACUUGGCAGCAUUGUGCUCCUACUCUAUGGAUAUGUGGAACUUUGAACUUGAGAGUAAUAAUUUAGGGUAUCUGGUGGAAGAAGUUUCUAAGCAGGCAAGCAUUCAAGAUGUUUCCUUGUUGCUUCUAGCAACCUAUUCUCAUAUGCAUGAACAAAGAAAUGACCUGAAACUUAUAUUUAAAAGGGAAGCAGAGUAAAAAAGGAUAGAAUAUUUGUAGCCUGGCCAUUUGGUAGAAAAUGAAAGGCCAUGUUUGCCAGGAAAGGGAAUUCAAGCUGGCUGAAGUAGUUUGCUUAAGUAAAUAGGACCAUGAUGCUGAUAGCCAAGACAAUGGGAAAAAGGCCUCAAAGGCACUUCAGAGACCUUUGAGGUAGCCCCUCCCAUCACAGGCCCAGAGGCCUAGGGGGAAGAAAUGGUUUCAUGGGCCAGGACCAGGGCCCUACUUCCCUGUGCAGCCUCAGACACUGCUCAUCACAUCCUAGCUGCUCCAUCUCCAGUCCUGAUUAAAAGGUGCCCAGGUACAGCUCAGGCUAGUGCUUCAGAAGGUGCAAGCCAUAAGGCUGGGCAAUUUCUGCUUGGUGUUAAGCCUGAGGGUGCUCAGAGUGAAAAAGUUGAAGCUUGAGAGCCUCUGCCUGGAUUUCAGAGGGCGAAUGGAAAAGCCUGGAUGUUCAGGCAGAAGCCUGCUGCAGGGGUGGAGUCCCCAUGGAGAACCUCUACUAGGCCAGUGCAGAGGGAAAAUGUGGGGUUGGGGUGCCCACACGGAGUCCUCACUGGGGCACUCCCUAGUGGAGCUGUGGGAAGAGGGCCACCAUUCUUCACAUUCCAGAAUGGUAGGGGCACUGACAGCUUGCACUAUGUGCCUGGAAAAGCCACAGGCACUCAACACUUGCCCAUGAGAACAGCCACAGAGAGGGGGAGCUUCCCAAGGUCUUUGAAGUGCACCCCUUGCAUCAGCAUGCUCUGGAUGUGAGACAUAAAGUCAAAGGAGAAUAUUUUGGGGCUUUCUUAACAACAGCCCUGCUGGAUUUUGGACUUGCAUGGGGCCUCUAGCCUCUUUCUCUUGGCCAAUUUCUCUCUUUUGGAAUGGCAGUAUCUACCCAAUGCCUGUAUCCCCAUUGAAUUAUGGAAGUAACUAAUUUGUUUUUUAUUUUAUAGACUCAUAGGCAGAAGGGACUGGUGUUUUUUCACAUGAAACUUUGGACGUUUGAGUUAAUGCUGAAAUUAGUUAAGACUUAGGGGAAUGUUGAGAAGGUAUAAUUGUAUUUUGCAACAUGAGAAGGACAUAAGAUUUGGUAUGAACCAGGAACAGAAUGAUAUGGUUUGGAUUUGUGUCUCCACUCAAAUCUCCUGUUGAAUUGUAAUCCCCAAUGUUCGAGGUGGGACCUGGUAGGAGGUGAUUGGAUGAUGGGGGCAGAUUGCUCCUUUGGUGCUGUUCUCAUCAUAGAGUUCUCAUGAGAUCUGGUUGUUUAAAAGUGUGUAGCAUCUUGUUCCUGCUCCAGUCUUGUAACAUGUGCUUGUUCUCACUUUGCCUUUUGUCAUGAUUUUGAGUUUCCAGAGGCUUCUCCAAAAGCAAGUCAUGCCAUGAUUCCUGUACAGCUUGCAGAAUUGUGAGCCAAUUAAUCCUCUUUUCUUUAUAAAUUACCCAGUCUCAGGUAUUUCUUUAUAGCAGUGUGAGAACAGACUAAUACAACAUCUCACACUAUCCUUUAACAUGCCAUUUAGAAACAUUCUGUGAAACAAAACCAUGAGAAAUACCAACAGAUAUUCAUGAGGUUUAGCAAAGUGAUAGACUCUUAUAGACUUUAUUUUUACUCUGUAAAGAAUUUAAGUCUAACUAAAGUCUUUAGGAGACCUACUAG
Long non-coding RNA from Gorilla gorilla gorilla (western lowland gorilla), 4540 nucleotides. RefSeq lists it as uncharacterized. The record is from RefSeq and is a predicted model, not a curated record. Lineage: Eukaryota; Metazoa; Chordata; Mammalia; Primates; Hominidae. The transcript is spliced from 7 exons.